AUAUUCUGGUUUCUCUUCAGAUCGUGUAAAUCUUUCACCUUUUACUAAAAAUUUCCGUGGAGAGGAACAGGCACGAGUGUCAAGGAAUUUUUUGAGGUUCUUUGAGCGCAGCU
Molecule: small nuclear RNA, 113 nt
Organism: Struthio camelus australis
Lineage: Eukaryota; Metazoa; Chordata; Aves; Struthioniformes; Struthionidae
Gene: U5
Rfam family: U5 spliceosomal RNA
About the family: U5 RNA is a component of both types of known spliceosome. The precise function of this molecule is unknown, though it is known that the 5' loop is required for splice site selection and p220 binding, and that both the 3' stem-loop and the Sm site are important for Sm protein binding and cap methylation.
Source: Ensembl